GUCUACUGCCAUACCACCCUGAAUGUGCCUGAUCUCGUCUGAUCUCGGAAGCUAAGCAGGGUCGGGCCUGGUUAGUACUUGGAUGAGUGACAGGAAGGAGGAGACA
Molecule: ribosomal RNA, 106 nt
Filed under: Canis lupus dingo (dingo)
Lineage: Eukaryota; Metazoa; Chordata; Mammalia; Carnivora; Canidae
Source: RNAcentral